AAAUUGAAGAGUUUGAUCAUGGCUCAGAUUGAACGCUGGCGGCAGGCCUAACACAUGCAAGUCGAACGGUAACAGGAAGAAGCUUGCUUCUUCGCUGACGAGUGGCGGACGGGUGAGUAAUGUCUGGGAAACUGCCUGAUGGAGGGGGAUAACUACUGGAAACGGUAGCUAAUACCGCAUAA
RNAcentral lists this ribosomal RNA (182 nucleotides) under Escherichia coli. RNAcentral's name for it is "partial 16S ribosomal RNA". It matches the Rfam family "Bacterial small subunit ribosomal RNA", at positions 1 to 176 of the family's 1533-position model. Lineage: Bacteria; Pseudomonadati; Pseudomonadota; Gammaproteobacteria; Enterobacterales; Enterobacteriaceae. The record is from RNAcentral.